GAGUUUGAUCGUGGCUCAGAACGAACGCUGGCGGCAUGCCUAACACAUGCAAGUCGAACGAGACCUUCGGGUCUAGUGGCGCACGGGUGCGUAACGCGUGGGAAUCUGCCCUUGGGUUCGGAAUAACGUUUGGAAACGAACGCUAAUACCGGAUGAUGUCUUCGGACCAAAGAUUUAUCGCCCAGGGAUGAGCCCGCGUAGGAUUAGCUAGUUGGUGGGGUAAAGGCUCACCAAGGCGACGAUCCUUAGCUGGUCUGAGAGGAUGAUCAGCCACACUGGGACUGAGACACGGCCCAGACUCCUACGGGAGGCAGCAGUGGGGAAUAUUGGACAAUGGGCGAAAGCCUGAUCCAGCAAUGCCGCGUGAGUGAUGAAGGCCUUAGGGUUGUAAAGCUCUUUUACCCGGGAUGAUAAUGACAGUACCGGGAGAAUAAGCCCCGGCUAACUCCGUGCCAGCCGCCGCCGUAAC
This 469-nucleotide ribosomal RNA is filed under the name uncultured Alphaproteobacteria bacterium. Its description in RNAcentral is "bacterial SSU rRNA". It matches the Rfam family "Bacterial small subunit ribosomal RNA", at positions 9 to 524 of the family's 1533-position model. Lineage: Bacteria; Pseudomonadati; Pseudomonadota; Alphaproteobacteria. The record is from RNAcentral.